CUUAUAACCUAAUGAUUUUUUUUUAAUUCGUAGACAAGUCGCGAGAAAACCGAUCCAUCAUAAGUUCAAUUCAGUCAACCAGAUAAUUUUUUCUUAAUAUUACUAGAAUAUAUAUUUUUUAAUCCAAUCCAAAUACAACCUUCAAAGGUGAUUGCUGCAAGAGAAAAUUAUCAGGGUUCAACUUGCAUAGAGUGCAUAACAGCAUUUUUCGUAUCAGCCCACAUGAGGCAAUUCCACUUGCACUAUUUUGUGUCUCUCUUCAACGCUCGACACUGAUGGCGAUUGAUAUCCUGCGUUCACCUGUCUCCGCCGUCCGAUUCUUUAACGGUGCCGCCACUCGCAGUCGUUGCUGUAGUAGCACCUUCCGCUUCAACCAAAACGCAAAGCAUUACAAAGAGCUUGAAGCCGCUGUUGACGUAGUUCGCAGGGCUUGCCGUCUCUGUCUUAAUGUGAAAUCAUCCUUGUUCUCAACUGAUGAGAAGGUUCUUGAAAAAAAUGACCAGACUCCAGUGACCGUGGCAGAUUUUGGAGUUCAAGCUCUCAUAAGUUUGGAGUUAAAUAAGCUGUUCCCUUCUAUACCUUUGGUGGCCGAGGAGGACUCUGCUUUCUUGCUAUCAAGAAACUUGGCAGAUACUGUUCUUAAUGAAGUAACUGACACACUUAGUUCCACUUGUAAACCAUUGACACAAGAUGAUGUACUCGAAGCAAUUGAUAGAGGGGGCAAGGAUGCUUUUGUAUUUGGAUCAAAGCCGGCCACAUAUUGGGUGCUCAACCCAAUCGAUGGCCCACAUGGUUUUCUAAAGGCUGGCAAAGCCUUAUAUGUGGUUGGUUUGGCUCUUGUGGUUGAAGGAGAGAUUGUUGUUGGUGUUAUGGGCUGCCCUAACUGGGAGGAAGACUUAUCUGAGAAAUCCUCUACUGAGAUUGAGGAGGGUUGGGAUUCUCUUGGUGGAUCAGGAACUGUAAUGAUUGCUCAUAACGGCUGAGGAACUUGGAUGAAAAGUUUGAAUAGCCAACUCAAAUCACCUUGUGUGUGGACCAGAUGUUUUGUUGAUGGGUCUGACAUAAUACAUAAAGCAAGCUUUUGUAUUCCAGAUAGUCAAACAUGGGAAUCACUGCCACUGUAUUCCUUAUCUAAUGCCCCAAGCAAUGCUGGCAAUGUAGGGAGCAAUCAAAUUCUUCUUUUGGGAGCAUGUUGAGGAAGUUUAUGCAAGUAUUUGAUGGUUGCCUCUGGUAGAGCAUCUAUUUUCAUUCUCUGAGCAAACGAGAAGACUAUUAUAGAGGUAUGGGACCAUGCUGUUGGCAUUAUAUGCGUUCAUGAAGCUGGUGGAAAGGUAACAGACUGGCAAGGCAGCGACAUAGAUCUUGCAGUGGGUCAUGUUGGCCGGCGGAUUAUAUUUCCCUAUGGCGGUGUCCUUGUUACCAACAGCAAUUUACAUGAUAAGAUUUUGCAGAUUAUCGAUCAGACUUCAAGAGUUUGAUGUUUUGUGGAAUUGCUCAUCCUCAUUAUUUUGUGAAAUGAUUUGUAUUUUGAUUAAUUUUGUUGAACCUUUGUCACAUAUAUUCUUAAAUUUUCAUUUAUAUGAAAUAUAAUUGAUAUCCACUAUUUUCUAGCAACA
Molecule: RNA transcript, 1616 nt
Organism: Glycine soja
Lineage: Eukaryota; Viridiplantae; Streptophyta; Magnoliopsida; Fabales; Fabaceae
Gene name: putative PAP-specific phosphatase, mitochondrial
Exons: 10
Source: RefSeq, a predicted model, not a curated record